RNAcentral lists this small nuclear RNA (105 nucleotides) under Castor canadensis (American beaver). Lineage: Eukaryota; Metazoa; Chordata; Mammalia; Rodentia; Castoridae. The record is from RNAcentral.
GUGCUCACUUCAGCAGCACAUAUACUAAAAUUAGAACAAAAGAGAUUAAGCAUGGCCCCUGUACAAAGAUGACAUGCCAAAUUCAAAGUCCAGUGACAUAUGGUG